UGAACCUGCAAGGGCGUCUACGGCUGUUUUGACCAUAUCAUGAUAUACACAAACGGCCGCUGUCGAGAUUUUUGGUGCGCCCAAUGAUUUCAAAAUAUCGGGCCGCACGGGUUGCUUUGCUUUUUCACACAGCCUUUUUACGCGGGAAGCAGUAUCGUCGCCAGCGAGUGUUGUAAGAUCCAUGCAGCUUAUCGCACGGAGCAACCAACCGGUUUGAUGAUCCUUUUUUACAGACCUUCUGGCUGCGAGUGUGUUUGCUCGACGUUCAAUUGCUGAAGUAUUGGCUUGAGCGGACAUUACCCAAUCAAGGUCAAGUGAUAGGAUUGAAUUUCGUUUCAAAAGGUUUGCUUUGGUGUUUGCGGUUGGUGAAGUCA
RNAcentral lists this ribosomal RNA (374 nucleotides) under uncultured eukaryote. RNAcentral describes it as "partial small subunit ribosomal RNA". The record is from RNAcentral.